AGCCCUGCCUGAGUCUGUAAAAGGAGGGGACUGCUGCAAGCAGAGUAAAAACGACCAUGUGAAAAAAAAAAAAAAAAAAAAAAAAAAACAACUCUUUUCCUCCUCUGUUUCUUCAGUGUAUGCAUUCCUGCUGAGAACAGAAGUACCGUGUGAUUUUGGGUCAGGGUGGAAGAUGAAAAGAGAACCCCUUUGGACAUGAAACUCUGGUUGGCAUCUGCAUUUGGAUGCUGGAAGAGCUGCUACCAGCACGCCGGGCUGGCUGCCCUGGCAUGGCUGGGAUUACUUUGCUGCUACAUGCCGUUGCUCAGCGUAAGAACAAGGCACUUACAAGAAGGUGGCUUUUUGUGGCGAUAUGCAGGGCAAGCUGAAGUGCAUAAAAAUGGUUGCCUGCCAGUCCACCGCAGGAGGAAAAUAGUCUGGCAUUGUGUCACUGGAGUGCAGACAGUCAGGAGAGCCAGAAGGUUUGUCGUCAGGAACCCUCGCACGUACUCUGGGGCGGCAGCUCAAGUUUUUAAGUUACACAAAAGGCAAAUGACCACUCAGAAACACUGAGACUGCAUUGGACAACACAUGAAAUGCCUCACAAAAGUACCAGAGGCUGGUAUGGAUUACAGAAAGAGAAGGUAGAAUUGCCCUCCUACGGUCUUUGCAGGCCGCAUCUUCUAGUGUUUGGGACAAAUGUCUGCUAGGCCAUAGGUCUAGAAAGGUUUGGAAACCCUCCAGAACUCAUUUGCUGGAGAUCGUUAGUGACAUUUCAGGUAUUUUAGCAUGAAGCUCUCCAGUGAUUUGUGUAAAUCCUGAAUGCUGUCUUCCUGCCUGGAUAUUAAAAGCCUGCAUUUCUUGCCAUUAAAAUGUACAGAAUGCAGUUGUUCUGGUAUUCUGGGGAUAUGUUCUUUUAGUACCCUGUAUCCUGAGAUUGGGCAAAACAUGAAAGCAAAAUCAUAAGGAGCUGUAUUUCUGCCUGGUUCUUAGUAAGAUAAUAGAGAGUCUCAGGAUAAACAUAAGCUGCUUUGUUACUUACUUUCUUAACGUUGUUUUCUGUGUUUUGUGCAUUCUGAACAGUGCAGGCAGGAAAACAGAAAACAGUCUUUCCUCUUGAAAUACUUAAAAUUUCACUGAAAGCACAUCUCCAUGCCUUUUCAGCCCUGCAGAAACAUGUCUAAGUUUGUACAGCACUGAACAGAACAAGACCUCAGCCCAUGACUGUCGAUUUCAGGCCCUGCUGCAGUACAAAUAAUCGUCAGUAGUUUGUUGUGAGAAAGCAGAUACGUUCUCAAUCAGUGAUACCCUGAGAAAUGCAGGCAAGGUUUCAAAACAGAAAUUAGAGUCGGAGCCCGCCCAGGCUGUUGGAACUUUGCUCUGCUUCCUUUGAACCGCUCCCCUUCCAUCGGGGAGGAAAUGCAUGGCACGUACUGAGCAUACACUCAUGGGGCUGCUUGACCUGCCACUUCUGCUGUGUUUGUGCGAGUGGAAAGAAAACUUCACACUUUAAGGGUGUCCAAGUGGAUGGGAGGACAAGUGCCUGUAACCUGCUGUUUGGGAACUUUCCAAAGAAACAGGGAAGGGCAGAGCCCAUUUCUCCCACUUUUGAAGGACCAUGGCACCUGGAAAGCAACACAAUUUGUUUUGUGAAGAAAGGUAAUUUCAGUCCGGAAGUCCAUGAAUAGCUUUCUGUUUUUUGCAUUUACUGCUGCUGAGGACAUUCACUAUGUUGGGGACCAAAAGUUAGGUACUAUUUUGUCCUUGUUGGUGCCUAUUUCUUCCUGUCUGGCAUGGCCUGUGUUGGUUAGAUUUAUGUGCAUACAGAUGGAUACAAGUAAUCUCUUGGAUGACUUGAAUUCAAGCAGGAGUAAGUCCUGUGCUCUUCAAAUUUUCCAGGUUUCAUUUUCACAAGAAACCUCUUUAGGGUGUGGUUUUUGGACCCUGACAACACCCCUGAAUGUCCCUGAGACCCAACAGCAGAUCCAACCCACAGGCACGCCUGGUGCAGCAGACCUGGGGGCAGCAGCCAGACAAGAGCUCUGCCCCUGCUGCGAUGCUCAGAUGGGACGACAAUGCAGAGACUGAGGCUCAGCCAGGUCCUGAGAGCACUGCUGUCUGCUAUGACACCCAUCAGCUUCGGGGCCAGCAGGGCAACACCAGACCUGUUUCCUCUUACAGCAUCAUUUCUCUGGCUUUGGGCAUUUCUGUUCCACAUAUUUCCAUAUCAGCAUUUCUGAAAAAUUUACUCUUCUUGUAAAAGGAUGAAGCAAGUGGUUCCUCAUUCUCUUAACGAUGCACCAGCAAUGUUUGUUCUGCUGAUUUGACUGAAAAUCCAAUCUUUUCUGGCCCUAACGAAAUUGUAAUAAAAGCUUGUUUAAUAAAGUAGCAGAAAAAAUGGUGGGAAAACAGAAGCACACGAAGUACAUUUGUAAAGAUCCCGUUCCUACAAGGCUACAAGUGACAUUAUGAUCAACAGUGUUACUAGCACACAGAGGAGAGCUGUUCCCCAGUGAAACCAGCAGAAGCCCAGCACUAACUGGUUGGCAGCAUUGAGCUUGUGCCCCUGCAGUGGGAGAGGAGACUGGGUCAUUGGCUGGUGCUCACAGGGUGCUGGUUGAAAGCACUUCAUGGCAGGUGUGGCAGCUAUGUCAGGAGGUAAGAGGGCAAGGGGACAUGUUGGGGCAGAAGCUCUGCGGAUAGCUGGCCAGUCCUUCCAAAGCUCUUCUUUAAAAUCUGGCUUUAAAAUCUGCAUGCUGGAAUUGGAUCGGUGAACAUUUUUUUUGGUUGUUUUCUAUCUUGUUGUUAUUUUUAUUUUGUUUUCAGGCAAGCCUCACAUUAUUUUCCCGUAAGUUUGACCACUGCAUUGAUCACUGUUGGUUUAGCAGCAAUGCUGAAGCUUUUCAAGGCUGCACUGCUCUGUAGCAUCUAUCCAGAGCCUGCUCCUUCUGCCCUUGCAUCAGGGUCAGCUUUCAGGAGCCCAUUUGACUGCUGGCUGUCCUGGCACAUGUGUGAUGCAAGGCAUGGAGUCUUCCCUGGGCAGUGCUAAGCACUGCAUCCAUAUGAAUUUUCCCAAGGUGGGAUGAGCCUUUUCCAGGCUGGUUGAGCCCGCCUGAGGACAAUACCACAAUAUCAUUGCACAAAGGUACUCUUGUGUAGUCAUAUCAAGACCAUAAUGUCCUCAUGCUUUGCUGAGCUCUGGACUUUUCGGCCCAUGAGAGCCAUUAGUUGGUUUCUGGCUCCCUGCUGACCAGCAUUUAGAGAAAAGUCUCAUAGUGGUGUUUUCCCAAGAGAUUUCUCCUUCUAAAAUAUGCUUCAAUACAAUCUAACAAAACCAGAUGAAUCAUUUUUCUAUUGGAAGUACUAUCAGAUGAUACCUGAGAAAAUGAAUUGACUUGAUAAUGGCAUGGAAAUGCUGUUCUUUAAAAAUCAUCAGUUUACAAAAUGGAGCCUGGGGGGAGGAGGAGGGGGGAAAAUAAGUUUAGAACUUAAUUCCUCCAUGCUCAACAACUUCAUUUACUGGAAGAAUACAACAAAUCUCUUGUUUUUGCAGCACAAGGGCUUUAUACAGGUAAACACGUUGAGAAUUUUGCCUGUAGUGUUUGCCCAGCUAGACCAUAAAGAAUCCCUGUGAGCAGGGGGAGCUGGUGACACUGCACGGCCCCAAGGAUCUCUGCUUUCCUCCUGUGUCCAUCUGCCCGAGUGCCAGGCAGUGAGACCGCUGGAGUUGUGCUAUUCCUGUGAUGUCGUCCAGCACGUUUAUUCUGAGUACAGAAGCAGUGGUCUUCCAUUUUGCAAUUACAGAAACAAGAAUAUCCUGUCGAGCUUUCUUGCUUUCCUCCCUUCCCUGCUGCCACCGCUUGGUAUGGCUGUAGGGAAUAUAAAUGGAACAGGAAAUUUGACCGCGUCCAGGAUCAAUGUCAUUAAAGACACGUCUUGUUUUAAAAUCUAAUUUUAUAUAACUGCUCCGUUAUAUAAUAUGCUUUUGUUUGUCGUCUUGAUUUUUAUCGACGUAGUGUGCAUUCCCCUGGACCUUUUCAUGAAGGAAUGUUUAUACCUGUGGGCAAGUGCUAAUGGCAGUGAAAGGCUUGCAUUCAUGGGAAUAGCGUUUAGCAAUUCAUGGUUGCCAAGGUAAGCAGCAAAGGCAUGCCCUCUGCCACUCCACUGCCUCUAAAAGAAACAGUCUCUAAGGUAACAGGCUAGCACCCCUUGAGGCCAAAAAUCUUUAGCUUUUUAGACAGAAAAACACAUUAAAUAAUACCAAGAAAAGCAUUUUUUUUUUGUCCAGGCAUUUUUCCUUCACAACAGAGAAGGGGCUCAAAGUGUUCUAUUUUUGGUUCCGCGCAGGAAUUUAAUUCAGAUGCUGCCCAGUGCUUUGUGCGCUCAACACCCCUUUGACAGUUGAGUUUCAGGGGCACAUAGGACUAAUGAGCCAAGGCAUGACUGCAGUUGAAGGCUGGCGUAUCCCAGGCCUGUGGCUGUUGUUCAAGUGAAUAGGCAAUUUCCCUGAUUAGCCUGGAAUUUGCAGCAUUAUCUGGACGGUUAGUUGGCGUGAGCCCUUUUUCCAGGAUCACAGGCAAUGUGGGAGACUGAGUCACCUGAAGAAAAGAUCUGCAGAGGCAGUGCUGGCUAGAUGCUGCUUGUUAUGGGUCAGGAGAAUGGGCUUCUCUUCUCCACUUCAUUUUGCUCUGAAACCUAUUGCCAUCUUCCUUUAUCUUACUGCAGCAAGAAGGGGAGAAGAAGGUGGGUCACCUUGUUUUCCCAGUGUAAGAGUUUAAUUGGAAGAAGAAACAAACACCAGAGGUCUGUUUUAAAAAUUGAGUGCAAAGCUGGAUCACCUUGCUGAUAAUCUUGGUGUAUCAGAGCAGAGACUCAUUCCAUAUACUGGAAGGCUUGCCUUUA
Molecule: RNA transcript, 4881 nt
Organism: Oxyura jamaicensis (ruddy duck)
Lineage: Eukaryota; Metazoa; Chordata; Aves; Anseriformes; Anatidae
Exons: 6
Source: RefSeq, a predicted model, not a curated record